AUGUAGCCAGGUGCAUUGGGGAAAGCACUGACAUCGGCGUCAGACAGACUUAAGUUCAUAUCUGAUUCUGCUAUAUGACAACGUGUGGGCUAUGUGGCUAACUUCUCAGAGCUUCAGUUUUCCCAAGGGCAAAAUGAAAAUAAUAGAAAUAAUAGAAUCCACCUCACAGGGCUGUGGUGAGAAUUGGAUAUGAAGCACAUACAGCAUAUUACAUCAACUAAACACAUGCUAAAAAUUAAAGGGGAUGAAAGAUACAUUGGUCCCUGCAGUGGGAAGUUUCCUUGACAAUGCAAUUAUUGAUUCCAGAAGGCUGAACAAAUGUUGAUAGAGGAACACACUGUUUGCUUAUGUCUAAUCUUCCCAUCUGACUUAUAUAAAUGUCACAAAUGAAUCUCAGACAUGUGCCCAAUAUCAAAUAUCCGUACGAUGGCCCUGGAAAGAGGCAAUCUACAUUCAUGGCUUAUGAGAAGAUGGAUUUUUAGCUUGAAAGAAACUUAUUACUGGGGAGAGGAAGUAUAAAUGAAUGGAGAGAGCUAUGAAGAGGUUGAGAGAAUACAGCCAAGACACAUGACAGAAUUGCUCUGUUGAAGUUUUGCAAGGUCAAAUGACUCAC
This 613-nucleotide non-coding RNA is filed under the name Pongo abelii (Sumatran orangutan). Lineage: Eukaryota; Metazoa; Chordata; Mammalia; Primates; Hominidae. The record is from RNAcentral.